This is an unclassified non-coding RNA of Cricetulus griseus (Chinese hamster), 337 nucleotides long. Its record names the gene 7SK. It matches the Rfam family "7SK RNA". From Rfam's summary of the family: 7SK was discovered as an abundant small nuclear RNA in the mid-70s but a possible function has only recently been suggested. Two independent studies have found that 7SK RNA binds the CDK9/cyclin T complex (known as elongation factor P-TEFb). The record is from Ensembl. NCBI's taxonomy places the organism in Eukaryota, Metazoa, Chordata, Mammalia, Rodentia, Cricetidae.
GGCUAUGAGGGCAAUCUGGCUGCAACAUCUGACGCCCCAAUGAUCACCAGGGUUGAUUCUGCCAAUCUGGCCAGCUAGGUGGGUAUCCCCACCCUCCUUCACUGCUCCAUGUGUGUACCCCCAGAUGUGGCAUGCUUGGCUAGAGAGGAUGACCUUCCCUGAUAGAGCUUCCAAACAGUCUCUCAAGGUCGUAGAGGAUAAAAGAUGGCCUGUGUGGCUAAAGAGACCUGACAUUGACCUCACCUCUGUUCCCUCCAGCCUCCCUGAGACUGGCCAAGCUGCUUCUCAGAUCUGAAGCCCAGUUUCCCAGCUGCAACGGGGGAGUGAGGGGAGGUUG